RNAcentral lists this ribosomal RNA (253 nucleotides) under uncultured bacterium. RNAcentral describes it as "partial 16S ribosomal RNA". It matches the Rfam family "Bacterial small subunit ribosomal RNA", at positions 524 to 776 of the family's 1533-position model. The record is from RNAcentral.
UACGGAGGGGGCUAGCGUUAUUCGGAAUUAUUGGGCGUAAAGGGCGUGUAGGCGGCUUCGUGUGUCCCAUGUGAAAGCCCCCGGCUCAACCGGGGAACUGCAUGGGAAACUGCGGAGCUUGAGUCCGGGAGAGGUGAGUGGAAUUCCCAGUGUAGCGGUGAAAUGCGUAGAUAUUGGGAGGAACACCGGUGGCGAAGGCGGCUCACUGGACCGGUACUGACGCUGAGACGCGAAAGCCAGGGGAGCAAACAGG